UUCUGGCAACAGGGCGGUAGACUGUCGGAGACACAACAGGAACACUAGAAUCGCUUAUGUCAGAUCCCGAUGGACUACCGGGGCUCAUGUAGAGUGCGUUGGAGCCGUUGACGGCAGCGCCGGCGCUGGCCGAUUUCUUCAUAGGCUGUACGUUCGGAUCCGCUUCAUACCCCUCAUUCAUCAUCGAGGAACACUUUCGCUUCAGCGUGGAAUUCCAG
RNAcentral lists this unclassified non-coding RNA (218 nucleotides) under Hevea brasiliensis (rubber tree). Lineage: Eukaryota; Viridiplantae; Streptophyta; Magnoliopsida; Malpighiales; Euphorbiaceae. The record is from RNAcentral.